This 117-nucleotide small RNA is filed under the name Marmota monax (woodchuck). Lineage: Eukaryota; Metazoa; Chordata; Mammalia; Rodentia; Sciuridae. The record is from RNAcentral.
GCUGGAUGCAGUGUUGUGUGCCUAUAGUCUCAGCUACUUGGGAGGCUGAGGCAGGAGGAUCACUUGAGCCCACAAGUUCAAAAGCAACCUGGUUAACAGAGUGGGAUCCCAUCUCAA